GCGCCUGUGGCGGAAUUGGUAGACGCGCAAGGUUGAGGGCCUUGUGGACCUUAUGGUCCGUGGGAGUUCGAGUCUCCCUGGGCGCA
This 86-nucleotide transfer RNA is filed under the name Thermoleophilaceae bacterium. RNAcentral describes it as "tRNA-Leu". It matches the Rfam family "tRNA". Rfam says of the family: Transfer RNA (tRNA) molecules are approximately 80 nucleotides in length. Their secondary structure includes four short double-helical elements and three loops (D, anti-codon, and T loops). Further hydrogen bonds mediate the characteristic L-shaped molecular structure. tRNAs have two regions of fundamental functional importance: the anti-codon, which is responsible for specific mRNA codon recognition, and the 3' end, to which the tRNAs corresponding amino acid is attached (by aminoacyl-tRNA synthetases). tRNAs cope with the degeneracy of the genetic code in two manners: having more than one tRNA (with a specific anti-codon) for a particular amino acid; and 'wobble' base-pairing, i.e. permitting non-standard base-pairing at the 3rd anti-codon position. The record is from RNAcentral. RNAcentral also lists the same sequence under 2 other names. Lineage: Bacteria; Bacillati; Actinomycetota; Thermoleophilia; Thermoleophilales; Thermoleophilaceae.